This 93-nucleotide transfer RNA is filed under the name Actinomycetota bacterium. RNAcentral's name for it is "tRNA-Ser". It matches the Rfam family "tRNA". Rfam says of the family: Transfer RNA (tRNA) molecules are approximately 80 nucleotides in length. Their secondary structure includes four short double-helical elements and three loops (D, anti-codon, and T loops). The record is from RNAcentral. Lineage: Bacteria; Bacillati; Actinomycetota.
GGAGAGGUGCGAGAGCGGCCGAAUCGGGCUCACUGCUAAUGAGUUGACGGGCCUAAACCCCGUCCGAGGGUUCAAAUCCCUCCCUCUCCGCCA